Molecule: ribosomal RNA, 200 nt
Filed under: uncultured bacterium
Lineage: Bacteria
Description: partial 16S ribosomal RNA
Rfam family: Bacterial small subunit ribosomal RNA (bases 26-200)
Source: RNAcentral
CGGAGGUGCGAAGCAGUUGUUCGGUGAAUCACUGGGCAUAAAGCGCACGUAGGCGGUCCGCUAAGUCAGUUGUGAAAUCCCUCGGCUCACCGAGGAGCUGCACCUGAUACUGGCGGGCUCGAGAACGGUAGGGGUGAGUGGAACUCCGGUGGAGCGGAUGAAAUGCGUAGAUAUCUGGAGGACACCGGUGGCGAAGGCGG